Molecule: non-coding RNA, 75 nt
Organism: Myotis davidii
Lineage: Eukaryota; Metazoa; Chordata; Mammalia; Chiroptera; Vespertilionidae
Source: Rfam
GGCAGUUCUCAGGUGACACACCCAGAAUCAGGCUCCCUUCUCUCUGGUUCUGGGAUGCGUGACCCGAGAAUCGCC